RNAcentral lists this ribosomal RNA (492 nucleotides) under uncultured bacterium. RNAcentral describes it as "partial 16S ribosomal RNA". It matches the Rfam family "Bacterial small subunit ribosomal RNA", at positions 29 to 507 of the family's 1533-position model. The record is from RNAcentral.
AGUGAACGCUGGCGGUAGGCCUAACACAUGCAAGUCGAACGGCAGCACAGUAAGAGCUUGCUCUUACGGGUGGCGAGUGGCGGACGGGUGAGGAAUACAUCGGAAUCUACUUUUUCGUGGGGGAUAACGUAGGGAAACUGACGCUAAUACCGCAUACGACCUACGGGUGAAAGCAGGGGAUCUUCGGACCUUGCGUGAUUGAAUGAGCCGAUGCCGGAUUAGCUAGUUGGCGGGGUAAAGGCCCACCAAGGCGACGAUCCGUAGCUGGUCUGAGAGGAUGAUCAGCCACACUGGAACUGAGACACGGUCCAGACUCCUACGGGAGGCAGCAGUGGGGAAUAUUGGACAAUGGGCGCAAGCCUGAUCCAGCCAUACCGCGUGGGUGAAGAAGGCCUUCGGGUUGUAAAGCCCUUUUGUUGGGAAAGAAAAGCAGCAGGUUAAUACCCCGCUGUUCUGACGGUACCCAAAGAAUAAGCACCGGCUAACUUCGUG